CUCGACCUGCUCAGCAAGGGCGCUGUUCCCAGGAUCCUGAGCUACAAAGCCGUCCCAAUGGCCAAGCGGAACUGGAAGCCCGGCUUUACAGUCGGCCUGAUGAGCAAGGACCUUCGCCUCAUGGCCGAGCAAAUCCCAGCCGGGACGCUUGGCGCUCAUGCCCACGAGCUCAUAGAGAGAGCUCGAGCCCAGGUUCUGACCGACUCGGACGUAGGAGCAAUUCUGCUUCAGGUGGAGCAAGAAGGCAGAACCUGAUCGGGCAAACAGUCUACUACUCAGCGGCUCGAGGCGCGUCACUGUCCGUGAAAAGAACUUAGUGACCUUACUAUAUCUCGCAGCGCCGGAUGUGGUUCUAUUAGGGCCACUAAGUCGGCGAAACGAUUAAUUGUGUCAAAUUGAAACAUUCCUGUCGAUUCAACGUUUAGGCUGCAGAUGCGGCACCUGGAGGCAAACAGGA
RNAcentral lists this unclassified non-coding RNA (457 nucleotides) under plant metagenome. RNAcentral's name for it is "partial contains 5.8S ribosomal RNA, internal transcribed spacer 2, and large subunit ribosomal RNA". The record is from RNAcentral.